CUGGCAAAAAAUAUGGCUCAAUGGCACCUACUAUAGCAUGUACGUCUGGUACAGGAAAACUGAGCAUUGGUUUUCUCAGAAGAAGAAAACAGAGAUGCGGGCUACGCUUUUCAAUAAAACUCAAUGGCCUAAGAUGAAUAUUUGGUACCCAGAACAAAAAGGACACGGGACGCCCUACGUGAUGCGAUUCUGGCA
Rhipicephalus microplus (southern cattle tick) is the source of this 195-nucleotide long non-coding RNA. The record is from RefSeq and is a predicted model, not a curated record. NCBI's taxonomy places the organism in Eukaryota, Metazoa, Arthropoda, Arachnida, Ixodida, Ixodidae.